Molecule: ribosomal RNA, 399 nt
Filed under: uncultured bacterium
Lineage: Bacteria
Description: partial 16S ribosomal RNA
Rfam family: Bacterial small subunit ribosomal RNA
Source: RNAcentral
GAAUCUUGCGCAACGGGCGAAAGCCUGCCGCAGCAAUGCCGCGUGAAUGAUGAAGGUCUUCGGAUUGUAAAAUUCUUCCACCGGGGACGAUAAUGACGGUACCAGGAGAAGAAGCCCCGGAUACCUUCGUGCCAGCAGCCGCGGGAAUACGAAGGGGGCUAGCGUUGCUCGGAAUUACUGGGCGUAAAGGGCGCGUAGGCGGAUCGUUAAGUCAGAGGUGAAAUCCCGGAGCUCAACUUCGGAAUUGCCUUGGAUACUGGCGAUCUUGAGUGUGAGAGAGGUAUGUGGUACUCCGAGUGUAGAGGUGAAAUUCGUAGAGAUUCGGGAGAACACCAGGGGCGAAGGCGACAUACUGGCUCAUUACUGACGCUUAGGCGCGAAAGCGUGGGGAGCAAACAG